GGGGCUGACUUGGAUUUCGACAGAUUUCUUGUCGCACAGAUAGCAUGCCAAGUGCUGCUUGUAAAACAGCAACAAAAAUAACUGUAAACAACGCAGAUUACGCUCCAGCUUACGCUAAAGCUGCGUGAGUUAAUCUCCUUUUGGAGCUGGACUGAUUAGAAUUUCUAGCGUUUUAAUCACUCCAUAACCUUAAGCUAGACGCUUUUAAAAGGUGGUUCGCCUUUUAAACUAAGAAACAAGAACUCUUGAAACUAUCUCAAGGUUUUAGAAAGUUGGACCAGAGCUAGUUUUAAGGCUAAAAAACUAACCAAUUUUCUAAGCAUUGUAGAAGUUUGUGUUUAGGACAAGAUUUUUGGACUGGGGUUCGAUUCCCCACAGCUCCACCA
This 386-nucleotide transfer-messenger RNA is filed under the name Helicobacter pylori. It matches the Rfam family "transfer-messenger RNA". From Rfam's summary of the family: Bacterial tmRNA, also known as 10Sa RNA or SsrA, is named for its dual tRNA and mRNA-like properties. Its role is to liberate the mRNA from a stalled ribosome. Lineage: Bacteria; Pseudomonadati; Campylobacterota; Epsilonproteobacteria; Campylobacterales; Helicobacteraceae. The record is from RNAcentral. RNAcentral also lists the same sequence under 1 other name.